UACAGAGGUCCCAAGCGUUGUUCGGAUUCAUUGGGCGUAAAGGGUGCGUAGGCGGCGCGGUAAGUCGGGUGUGAAAUCUCGGGGCUUAACUCCGAAACUGCAUUCGAUACUGCCGUGCUUGAGGACUGGAGAGGAGACUGGAAUUUACGGUGUAGCGGUGAAAUGCGUAGAUAUCGGGAGGAAUACCGAUGGCGAAGGCAGGUCUCUGGGCUGACACUGACGCUCAUGCACGAAAGCGUGGGGAGCAAACAGG
This 253-nucleotide ribosomal RNA is filed under the name uncultured bacterium. Its description in RNAcentral is "partial 16S ribosomal RNA". It matches the Rfam family "Bacterial small subunit ribosomal RNA", at positions 524 to 776 of the family's 1533-position model. The record is from RNAcentral.